AUAACGACAUUGAUGGGGAAUAGUAGGCAGCAAAGCCUUCAGAGAGUGGAACCGUUACGCUGAGAGGUUCUGCAGGAAGUGACUGCUACGAGUCGCCCCGGAGUUGCCUGAGCCAAGUAGGAGCAACCUGUGCUCUACCGAAGUCAGGCCGGCCGCAGCCGUUAUCUGUUUGAGUGCCAUGCGGAUACAUUUCGCGUGGAACAAAGGUGGUACCACGGAAGCUUAACCUUUCGUCCUUUAU
Paenibacillus sp. FSL A5-0031 is the source of this 241-nucleotide non-coding RNA. Lineage: Bacteria; Bacillati; Bacillota; Bacilli; Caryophanales; Paenibacillaceae. The record is from Rfam.